Molecule: non-coding RNA, 411 nt
Organism: Nicotiana tabacum (common tobacco)
Lineage: Eukaryota; Viridiplantae; Streptophyta; Magnoliopsida; Solanales; Solanaceae
Source: RefSeq, a predicted model, not a curated record
UAAAAAGCAAGAAACAUUUUCAUUUUCCUAGUUCAAAUACUUCAAAGAACAGAAGCUUAAUUCCAUCCAAAUUUUGCAGUUCUAUAGGAAUACGGUGUAAUCUUCUCCAAGAAUAUCAUACGGAGUUUUCGCUACUCCAGGUGUAGAUAGGCGAGGUGAGGACCACCCACUGUAGGCUGUCUCCAGAUAUCAACUCUUGGUUAGUGAGCUCCACAUCUUCCUGGAGUACUUCCAAGUCACAUUCUAUAUAUGUUACUUUGUUUUAUGAAGAUGUCGGGGACACUGUCCCGACUUAUAUUAUGAUCAUGUUUUCUUAGAGGUUUGGCAAACAGUGUCCUGUGUAUAGCUUUAGGUACGACAUGUCAGCGUCCUUGUCGGGCCCUAUGUUUCUAUAUAAAUAUUUUUGAAUUA